CUGGCCCCUGAACGGGGGCACGUGCACGCUCUGUUUACGCAUCCACUCACACCUGUGCACCCUCGGUAGUUCUAUGGUUCGGGAGACCCCGUCUUCCUUCCGUGGCUCUACGUCUUUACACACACACGACGUCUCAUGGAAUGUUUUUCGCGUUUAACGCAAUACAAUACAACUUUCAGCAACGGAUCUCUUGGCUCUCGCAUCGAUGAAGAACGCAGCGAAAUGCGAUAAGUAAUGUGAAUUGCAGAAUUCAGUGAAUCAUCGAAUCUUUGAACGCACCUUGCGCCCCUUGGUUAUUCCUUGGGGCAUGCCUGUUUGAGUAUCAUGAACACCUCAACUCUCACGGUCUUCCGUGACGAGCUUGGACUUUGGAGGUUUGCUGGCCCUGCGGCCGGCUCCUCUCAAACAAAUCAGCUUGCCAGUGUUUGGCGGCAUCUCACGGGUGUGAUAACUAUCUACGCUCGCGGUU
RNAcentral lists this ribosomal RNA (469 nucleotides) under uncultured Thelephora. RNAcentral describes it as "eukaryotic LSU rRNA". The stretch from base 171 to 325 matches the Rfam family "5.8S ribosomal RNA". The record is from RNAcentral. Lineage: Eukaryota; Fungi; Basidiomycota; Agaricomycetes; Thelephorales; Thelephoraceae.